UACGCUGGCGGAGGCCUACACAUGCAAGUCGAGCGGAUGAGUGGAGCUUGCUCCAUGAUUCAGCGGCGGACGGGUGAGUAAUGCCUAGGAAUCUGCCCGGUAGUGGGGGAUAACGUCCGGAAACGGGCGCUAAUACCGCAUACGUCCUACGGGAGAAAGCAGGGGACCUUCGGGCCUUGCGCUAUCGGAUGAGCCUAGGUCGGAUUAGCUAGUUGGUGAGGUAAUGGCUCACCAAGGCGACGAUCCGUAACUGGUCUGAGAGGAUGAUCAGUCACACUGGAACUGAGACACGGUCCAGACUCCUACGGGAGGCAGCAGUGGGGAAUAUUGGACAAUGGGCGAAAGCCUGAUCCAGCCAUGCCGCGUGUGUGAAGAAGGUCUUCGGAUUGUAAAGCACUUUAAGU
RNAcentral lists this ribosomal RNA (404 nucleotides) under Pseudomonas sp. MF38. RNAcentral's name for it is "bacterial SSU rRNA". It matches the Rfam family "Bacterial small subunit ribosomal RNA", at positions 33 to 440 of the family's 1533-position model. Lineage: Bacteria; Pseudomonadati; Pseudomonadota; Gammaproteobacteria; Pseudomonadales; Pseudomonadaceae. The record is from RNAcentral.